AUGGCGAGCGCAUGGGACAGCCCGUCGAGCAGCCUGUGGGGCGCCCUGGGGCAAGCCUCCACCAUGGCGCAGCUGGUGGGCGUCGACGCGCUCGGGCUGGUCUCCAUGGUCGUGCAGGCCGCCCUGGUGGCGCGCCGCCACCGGGAUGCCUGCGUGCGGCUCGCGCAGCACGUGGAGCUCGUCGGCGGCCUGCUCGGGGAGCUGGAGCUCGAGGAUCUGAUGCGGCGGGAGGCCACCAGGCGGCCGCUGGAGCAGCUCGGCAGCGCUCUGCGGCGGUGCUACGCGCUCGUGACCGCGUGCCAGGACUGCGGCUACCUCCGCCGCCUGCUCCUGGGAGCCCGGAUGGCCGACGAGCUCCGUGCCGCACAGCACGAGGUCGAUAUGUUCAUCCGCCUCAUCCCGCUCAUCGCCCUCGUCGGCAAUUCUACUGCAGAUAGUCGCCGUGUCAAGAUUGUUAAUUGCCGUUAA
Molecule: ribosomal RNA, 468 nt
Filed under: Triticum aestivum (bread wheat)
Lineage: Eukaryota; Viridiplantae; Streptophyta; Magnoliopsida; Poales; Poaceae
Description: partial small subunit ribosomal RNA
Source: RNAcentral